RNAcentral lists this ribosomal RNA (478 nucleotides) under uncultured bacterium. RNAcentral's name for it is "partial 16S ribosomal RNA". It matches the Rfam family "Bacterial small subunit ribosomal RNA", at positions 28 to 507 of the family's 1533-position model. The record is from RNAcentral.
GAUGAACGCUGGCGGCGUGCUUAACACAUGCCAGUCGAACGAGAAGUGGAGACGGAAACCUUCGGGCGGAAGACUUUAUUUCGAGUGGCGGACGGGUGAGUAACGCGUGGGUAACCUGCCUCAUACAGGGGGAUAACAGUUGGAAACGACUGUUAAUACCGCAUAAGACCACAGCACCGCAUGGUGCGGGGGUAAAAACUCCGGUGGUAUGAGAUGGACCCGCGUUCGAUUAGCCAGUUGGCGGGGUAACGGCCCACCAAAGCGACGAUCGAUAGCCGAUCUGAGAGGAUGACCGGCCACAUUGGGACUGAGACACGGCCCAAACUCCUACGGGAGGCAGCAGUGGGGAAUAUUGCACAAUGGGGGAAACCCUGAUGCAGCGACGCCGCGUGAGUGAAGAUGUAUUUCGGUAUGUAAAGCUCUAUCAGCAGGGAAGAAAAUGACGGUACCUGAGUAAGAAGCCCCGGCUAACUACGUG